This is a non-coding RNA of Peromyscus maniculatus bairdii (prairie deer mouse), 749 nucleotides long. NCBI's taxonomy places the organism in Eukaryota, Metazoa, Chordata, Mammalia, Rodentia, Cricetidae. The record is from RefSeq and is a predicted model, not a curated record.
UUGACUUUUCUCCAUUGGCAGUGCCACCACGGACAUGAUGUCCGAGAAGACCGGGUCUCUGGGUCGAGGCAGGCAGAGGAGCCUCUGCUGCUUUGCACCAAACCAAGGGCAAGCCCGAUUCCUGCUGUUUGCUCUGUAUGCUGACCCAAAGGUAGGUACUAGCCAGAGGCAGCUAUUGCCCGGACACCAGUUCUAACCCUGGAACAGGAAGAAGUGUCUUUAGACACGGUCUCUUGGGGUCAGCAGCUCUGCGGAAGACUGGAAGAAUCCAGAGCUAGAAUAAAGGGCAGAGAUUAGCAGAUUCAGGCUCUGGGGCUGAGCUCUGACCCUGCCCUGACUCUGAGAGAUCCUGCUGGUGCCUCCUCUUCUCCAUGGAGCGUGUGGCAGCUUAGUGGCGAUGGAAUUCAUUGUGCACAAUGGAGUGUCAGUUGCUUCUUGCUAAUGGAUGACUUCAAAUGUGGAGAAAGAUUUAUUCACCAAGUCAAGCAUAAGCCUCUAAGAGACGACUAACCCUGACUAAUCAGAUGGAGAACAUAAUGGUUGAAGUGAGCACGGGACUUGGCGCUUCCUGCACAUCCUUAUGAGUCCUCAGGCUCAGGCUGAGCACCAUAUUUCUGCAUCUAGCCUAUGGAUCAAUACUGCACUGAUAUUUAAAUAACAAAUAUUUAUUGUGUAUUUAGUCUUGUCUACAGUGAUGAUGUAUUUCACAUGUUCAUUUAUUUAAUCAAUAAACAGUUAUUAGGUAUCUA